Molecule: ribosomal RNA, 619 nt
Filed under: uncultured Campylobacterota bacterium
Lineage: Bacteria; Pseudomonadati; Campylobacterota
Description: bacterial SSU rRNA
Rfam family: Bacterial small subunit ribosomal RNA
Source: RNAcentral
CUCAGAGUGAACGCUGGCGGCGUGCUUAACACAUGCAAGUCGAACGAGAACAUGCAGUAGCAAUACUGUGAUGCUAAGUGGCGCACGGGUGAGUAAUGUAUAGGUAACAUGCCCUUAAGAGGGGGAUAACAGAGGGAAACCUCUGCUAAUACCCCAUAACCCUUCUUAUCAUAAGAUAAGUUGGCAAAGUUUUUUCGCUUAAGGAUUGGCCUGUAUAGUAUCAGCUUGUUGGUGAGGUAAUGGCUCACCAAGGCUAUGACGCUUAACUGGUCUGAGAGGAUGAUCAGUCACACUGGAACUGAGACACGGUCCAGACUCCUACGGGAGGCAGCAGUGGGGAAUAUUGCACAAUGGGGGAAACCCUGAUGCAGCAACGCCGCGUGGAGGAUGACACUUUUCGGAGCGUAAACUCCUUUUCUGUUAGAAGAUAAUGACGGUAUAACAGGAAUAAGCACCGGCUAACUCCGUGCCAGCAGCCGCGGUAAUACGGAGGGUGCAAGCGUUACUCGGAAUCACUGGGCGUAAAGAGCGUGUAGGCUGUUUAGCAAGUCAGAAGUGAAAUCCUAUAGCUCAACUAUAGAACUGCUUUUGAAACUGCUUAACUAGAGUGUGGGAGAGG